RNAcentral lists this unclassified non-coding RNA (220 nucleotides) under Glomus sp. Its description in RNAcentral is "partial contains 5.8S ribosomal RNA and internal transcribed spacer 2". The stretch from base 1 to 65 matches the Rfam family "5.8S ribosomal RNA", at positions 84 to 154 of the family's 154-position model. Lineage: Eukaryota; Fungi; Glomeromycota; Glomeromycetes; Glomerales; Glomeraceae. The record is from RNAcentral.
GUGAAUCAUCGAAUUUUUGAACGCAAAUUGCACUCUCUUCUAGGAGUAUGCCUGUUUGAGUGUCAGCUUAAAAAAAUCUACGUAGUCGCUGUUUCGCGGUGACAUUCGUCGGAAAUUGGGUCAUCUUAAACCUUUGGGUUGUUUAAGCGACUUAAAAUUUUCUUUACGAUUCUACGAACGUUUCUAAGAUUUUUCUGCUUACACACGUUUAAGGAUACGA